Molecule: ribosomal RNA, 497 nt
Filed under: uncultured bacterium
Lineage: Bacteria
Description: partial 16S ribosomal RNA
Rfam family: Bacterial small subunit ribosomal RNA
Source: RNAcentral
GAUGAACGCUGGCGGCGUGCCUAAUGCAUGCAAGUCGAGCGAACGGACGAGAAGCUUGCUUCUCUGAUGUUAGCGGCGGACGGGUGAGUAACACGUGGAUAACCUACCUAUAAGACUGGGAUAACUUCGGGAAACCGGAGCUAAUACCGGAUAAUAUUUUGAACCGCAUGGUUCAAAAGUGAAAGACGGUCUUGCUGUCACUUAUAGAUGGAUCCGCGCUGCAUUAGCUAGUUGGUAAGGUAACGGCUUACCAAGGCAACGAUGCAUAGCCGACCUGAGAGGGUGGUCGGUCACACUGGAACUGAGACACGGUCCAGACUCCUACGGGAGGCAGCAGUAGGGAAUCUUCCGCAAUGGGCGAAAGCCUGACGGAGCAACGCCGCGUGAGUGAUGAAGGUCUUCGGAUCGUAAAACUCUGUUAUUAGGGAAGAACAUAUGUGUAAGUAACUGUGCACAUCUUGACGGUACCUAAUCAGAAAGCCACGGCUAACUACGUG